Long non-coding RNA from Cryptotermes secundus, 894 nucleotides. RefSeq lists it as uncharacterized. The record is from RefSeq and is a predicted model, not a curated record. NCBI's taxonomy places the organism in Eukaryota, Metazoa, Arthropoda, Insecta, Blattodea, Kalotermitidae. The transcript is spliced from 4 exons.
UAGAGGUUUAAAAUGUACAAAUACUGCAUUAACUUUGAUCAGAGUUCAAAAUUAAUUCUGUUUUUGUUCUUGUAGUUUAAUGGCACUUAGCAUACGAGAGCUGUGUGAUGUUGAGUGUAAAUUAUUUUAUAAGUUGAAUAAUUUUGGUGUUUCUACAAAAUUAUUAGGAGCUAUAAGAAAUUCCCGAGAGAUUGAUCACCAUCGAUCCAUCGAGCGAGACUCUAAUUGAUAUCCAAAAUGGCCGUUAAGUAGCGAAUGAUGGUGACACUCAAGUUUUCAUCACUGAUAAUAGUGAAAGAAGUGAGACAACGAGUGCUUGUUAUCAUAAAUUUAAACCAGAACGUCGAUCAGCACAAAAAUUAUUGAACUGCUACAAGAAGAGAUGACACGCCCAAUCGUACCGUGAAUAUAGACUUAUGUUACUUCCACAGUUCGAACUCCAGAAAAAAAAAUGGAACUGGGUUCUUGCGUUCAUGAAUCUCCUCUGGAACAUCUUGCUAACGUGACUUAGGUUUCUUCAUGGUUUUUCACAGUACCACCAGGCAAAUGUUGAUUCGACUUAGUAUCCCUAAUUAGAGACAGAAGAGAUACUGUCCAACAUCAAGAUUGAGCCCGAUGACUGCGAACUGGAGCUGCAGAUAGUCCUCAAGAAAGCAUGGAGACUGUUACAGAAUCAAAGCAGAGUGUAGAAAAGGACUCUGAGAGGGAAAUGAUUGAAGAGAAGAAACGUCAGGAAGAAGAAGGCAAACGUGGAGCUUGGAAUGAAGUUUUGAUUGAAAUGAUGAAAAGUUUGGGCAUUGCAAGCACUACAGUGGUCCGACAUCAGACUUCAAAGAAAAGGAGGGCUACAAACCGAAUGUUAAACUCGACUACAUAGAUGAUUGCAAAGGAUGC